GACCGAGGGGGCAAGCGUUGCUCGGAAUUACUGGGCGUAAAGGGCGCGUAGGCGGGAUGGCAAGUCGGUCGUGAAAUCCCUCGGCUCAACUGAGGUACGUCGAUCGAUACUGCCGUUCUUGAGGGUUGCAGAGGAGACUGGAAUUCCCGGUGUAGCGGUGAAAUGUGUAGAGAUCGGGAGGAACACCGGUGGCGAAGGCGGGUCUCUGGGCAACUCCUGACGCUGAGGCGCGAAAGCGUGGGGAGCAAACGGG
Molecule: ribosomal RNA, 253 nt
Filed under: uncultured bacterium
Lineage: Bacteria
Description: partial 16S ribosomal RNA
Rfam family: Bacterial small subunit ribosomal RNA
Source: RNAcentral